GGGGCCGUGGUGAAGCGGGAUCACACCACAAUGGCAUUGUGGUAUCACGGGUUCAAUUCCCGUCGGCUCCA
This 71-nucleotide transfer RNA is filed under the name Candidatus Omnitrophica bacterium 4484_70.1. Its description in RNAcentral is "tRNA-Ala". It matches the Rfam family "tRNA". Rfam says of the family: Transfer RNA (tRNA) molecules are approximately 80 nucleotides in length. Their secondary structure includes four short double-helical elements and three loops (D, anti-codon, and T loops). Lineage: Bacteria; Pseudomonadati; Candidatus Omnitrophota. The record is from RNAcentral.